This is a long non-coding RNA of Daucus carota subsp. sativus, 905 nucleotides long. RefSeq lists it as uncharacterized. The transcript has 3 exons. The record is from RefSeq and is a predicted model, not a curated record. NCBI's taxonomy places the organism in Eukaryota, Viridiplantae, Streptophyta, Magnoliopsida, Apiales, Apiaceae.
GCCGUUGGAUAAAAACAAAUCCUGUGGUCAUUAUUCACUAUACAGACCUUUUUUUUAAUUUUAAAAAUCAGAAUACAAACGUGGGUGACUUCAGAUGUAUACAGUACCGUAUAUCCUUGAAGAUCGGUAAACAAUAUCCCGCAUCCUGCUCUCCCGAGAAACUGCUGUUACAAAAAUAGUGCAAGAUAGUCGCUAUCAUCUUCUUUGAAGUUUCUUUGAUUAUUAGCAGGACAAGUAGCGAAGAACAAAUGGCAAGUCAGUCAAAGAUGAAUCCAGGCUUUCAAUUUUGCUUGUUCUGCGCAGGACGAUGUUGUCAGAAAUGAUGCACUUGUUGUAAUUGGUAAUGUUGUUCCAAAUUGUGAGCAAUCGACGAAUGUGCAACAAAACUUGAUGAGAAGAUAAUUUUUGUAACCUGUCAGUAGAAUUUCCAAUUUACAAUAAUAUUACAACAAUUAAAAUGACUUUGGGGCUAAUGUCAUUAUGCAGGCCAUGUCCUAUAAAAAGACAAUUGAGGUUGGGAAAGAGGAUCGAAAUUCAGUUCAGCUUGGAAAGAUGCGUAAGGAUAAUCAAAGUAGCGUGUUGCACAAACUAAGAGUGAUCUUUGCUCACUGGAUGCUGUUAUGGUCCAAAAACAUGAAAAGGCAUCGUGUGUUGAAUAAGAUGGUCCAAUUCAGAAAAAGCAAGCUGAUAGGAGUUUAAUAUAUUUUUUUUAGAAAGUAUUUUGUAAUUGAUCCUACUGUAGUCAAACUUGCUCUUCAGUUCGUAUCUAAGUUGGAUGAAUUCUCUGAAAUACUAAACUGAAUUUACCAUGUCGGUUUAAAGAAUUGAUUUUUUUUGUUGUCAUAUUUUUGUGUAGAAAUUCUGCCUCAAGUGAUGUGAAUGUUUUACUUUUUUGUUUUGCAGUA